This 460-nucleotide ribosomal RNA is filed under the name uncultured bacterium. RNAcentral's name for it is "partial 16S ribosomal RNA". It matches the Rfam family "Bacterial small subunit ribosomal RNA", at positions 338 to 795 of the family's 1533-position model. The record is from RNAcentral.
CCUACGGGUGGCAGCAGUGAGGAAUAUUGGUCAAUGGGCGCGAGCCUGAACCAGCCAAGUAGCGUGAAGGAUGACUGCCCUACGGGUUGUACACUUCUUUUAUAAAGGAAUAAAGUGAGGCACGUGUGCCUUUUUGUAUUGACUUUAUGAAUACGGAUCGGAUAACUCCGUGCCAGCAGCCGCCGUAAUACGGAGGAUCCGAGCGUUAUCCGGAUUUAUUGGGUUUAAAGGGAGCGUAGAUGGGUUGUUAAGUCAGUUGUGAAAGUUUGCGGCUCAACCGUAAAAGUGCAAUUGAUACUGGCAGCCUUGAGUACAGUUGAGGUAGGCGGAAUUCGUGGUGUAGCGGGGAAAUGCUUAGAUAUCACGAAGAACUCCGAUUGCGAAGGCAGCUUACUAAACUGCCACUGACAUUGAUGCUCGAAAGUGUGGGUAUCAAACAGGAUUAGAUACCCCAGUAGUC